This 493-nucleotide ribosomal RNA is filed under the name Tolypocladium endophyticum. RNAcentral's name for it is "SSU rRNA". It matches the Rfam family "Eukaryotic small subunit ribosomal RNA", at positions 81 to 578 of the family's 1831-position model. Lineage: Eukaryota; Fungi; Ascomycota; Sordariomycetes; Hypocreales; Ophiocordycipitaceae. The record is from RNAcentral.
GCGAAACUGCGAAUGGCUCAUUAUAUAAGUUAUCGUUUAUUUGAUAGUACCUUACUACUUGGAUAACCGUGGUAAUUCUAGAGCUAAUACAUGCUAAAAAUCCCGACUUCGGAAGGGAUGUAUUUAUUAGAUUAAAAACCAAUGCCCUCUGGGCUCUCUGGUGAUUCAUGAUAACUUCUCGAAUCGCAUGGCCUUGCGCCGGCGAUGGUUCAUUCAAAUUUCUUCCCUAUCAACUUUCGAUGUUUGGGUAGUGGCCAAACAUGGUUGCAACGGGUAACGGAGGGUUAGGGCUCGACCCCGGAGAAGGAGCCUGAGAAACGGCUACUACAUCCAAGGAAGGCAGCAGGCGCGCAAAUUACCCAAUCCCGACACGGGGAGGUAGUGACAAUAAAUACUGAUACAGGGCUCUUUUGGGUCUUGUAAUUGGAAUGAGUACAAUUUAAAUCCCUUAACGAGGAACAAUUGGAGGGCAAGUCUGGUGCCAGCAGCCGCG